AAUACACCUCUGUAUGUGUAACAAUAGCAACUUUCGUAUUUUUUUUUGGGGGUGUCAUUUACCUCAAGGGUUAGAGUGAAUUACUCAUUACUUUCUCUAAGGCCAAAAGAAUUAGAAUACGUAUCUCAUCAAUUGACUUAUUUUGAUAACUCGGUACAAACUUCCAUUCAUUUUAUCCUCUUAAUAAGAGACUCAAAUUCACAACCUUAAGCUAUUUCCAGAAAUAUUAAUGAUUAGAAUUCAAAGCCUUAAGCUAUUUCCAGAAAUACUCACGCCAAACGAGGCUCGUUUUAUCCAUCAUAGAAGUACCUAUUAAUCUCUGCUUACUUUCAACUCCAAAGCAUUUGAGUAAAAUCAAGAUUGAUGUCAUAUUGAUAAAGAUUGGUGCCUUCUAAUUGAUCCAUUGUGAGAAAGUCUUAGGUCAGUGGUUAUGUGGUGAAGCUGAUGGCGAGAAAAUUGGGAAUUGAACUUAUUUCACUCCGUUUUGCUCGAAGACGAUGAAAAUGAAGGCAUGGUGGAACCAUUUUUCAAAAACAUGGAAAACCACAAAAGCCCAGCUCCCAUAUAUUCAUUUGGAUGAGAAUUAAUUUGACCGAUUUUCGUAAAAUUAUGAUUCUUUAUUCAAAGUAAAACUACUUUAAAAUUUGUGUGAUUCUUUAAUAUAGUGUUAUUUAAUUUGUUUGAUGAUA
Molecule: long non-coding RNA, 689 nt
Organism: Capsicum annuum
Lineage: Eukaryota; Viridiplantae; Streptophyta; Magnoliopsida; Solanales; Solanaceae
Exons: 2
Source: RefSeq, a predicted model, not a curated record